AAAAAAAAAAAAAAAAAGUCUCUACAAGACAAAAAGAUCUUCAACAAGACGUUUGUUCUUUCCAGAUAAAAAAAUUACAAUUUGGUUAUUCCCUCUGGGUGCCAGUGAGAUGUCUCAGUAGACAAACCUGCUACUGGGCCUGCUGAUGGCCUGAACUCACUUCCUGGGACCCACAAGGUAGAGGGAGAAACAACACCCAAAGCUGUCCGGUGUACUAUGGUAAGUACUUUACCAAUGAGCUACAUGCCCGGUCUCCUUGAAUGUAUAGAAGACAGAGAGAAUAAAUUACAAAUCUCCUGUGCCCUAAGAAUCACAGCAAACACAUUAAAGACUCGAGUCUUUCACUGCCAAUCUCAACCUGGACUUGACACAGUCAUCUCCUACCAGUCUUCUUGGCGGUUUUAUGAGGGCUGCAGUCAAUGCUGACUUGGGUGAAGUCUUCAAUGAGCCGCAUAGCUCCCAUCCAGUUACAAGGCUGGAAUAAGGUCUGGAACCUGGGGUUGAACUGCUGGUGAAGGGCAAUGGAAUUCUCAGCAAAGGUGCCCAGCU
Mus musculus (house mouse) is the source of this 549-nucleotide long non-coding RNA. RefSeq annotates it as predicted gene, 53242. Lineage: Eukaryota; Metazoa; Chordata; Mammalia; Rodentia; Muridae. The record is from RefSeq and is a predicted model, not a curated record. The transcript has 2 exons.